AGAGUUUGAUCAUGGCUCAGACGACGCUGCGCGUGCCUACACAUGCAGUCGAACGAGAUACUUUGAAGCCUGCGAAGAGUAUCUUAGUGGCGACGGGUGAGUAACGCGUGGGUAAUCUGCCCAUAAGCGGGGAACAACAGUUGGAAACGACUGCUAAUACCGCAUAAACUGCCUAAGGGCAGGAAAGGUGGCCUCUGAAUAUGCUGCCGCUUAUGGAUGAGCCCGCGUCUGAUUAGCUGGUUGGUGGGGUAAAGGCCUACCAAGGCGACGAUCAGUAGCCGGCGUGAGAGGGUGAACGGCCACACUGGGACUGAGACACGGCCCAGACUCGUACGGGAGGCAGCAGUGGGGAAUAUUGCGCAAUGGGGGAAACCCUGACGCAGCGACGCCGCGUGAGCGAAGAAGGCCUUAGGGUUGUAAAGCUCUGUUUUAGGGGACGAAAGCUAUAGGGAGAAAUAUGCCCUGUAAAUGACGGUACCCUAAGAGGAAGCCCCGGCUAACUACGUGCCAGCAGCCGCGGUAAGACGUAGGGGGCGAGCGUUGUCCGGAAUUACUGGGCGUAAAGAGCACGUAGGCGGGAACUUAAGUCAGGUGUGAAAGACCGUGGCUCAACCACGGGUAUGCAUUUGAAACUGGGUUUCUUGAGGGCAGGAGAGGAAAGCAGAAUUCCUGGUGUAGCGGUGAAAUGCGUAGAAAUCAGGAGGAAUACCAGUGGCGAAGGCGGCUUUCUGGACUGACCCUGACGCUGAGGUGCGAAAGCGUGGGUAGCAAACAGGAUUAGAUACCCUGGUAGUCCACGCCGUAAACGAUGGAUACUAGGUGUGGGAGGUAUCGACCCCUUCCGUGCCGCAGCUAACGCAAUAAGUAUCCCGCCUGGGGAGUACGGUCGCAAGGCUGAAACUCAAAGGAAUUGACGG
RNAcentral lists this ribosomal RNA (917 nucleotides) under uncultured bacterium. RNAcentral's name for it is "bacterial SSU rRNA". It matches the Rfam family "Bacterial small subunit ribosomal RNA", at positions 8 to 916 of the family's 1533-position model. The record is from RNAcentral.